GUGUUCUCCCCACAGCACAUAUACUAAAAUUGGAACAACACAGAAGAUCAAGGGCCCUGUGUGGCCCCUGCACAAGGAUAACACAAAAGUUUGUGAAGUGAUCCGUAUUUUA
Small nuclear RNA from Peromyscus eremicus (cactus mouse), 112 nucleotides. Lineage: Eukaryota; Metazoa; Chordata; Mammalia; Rodentia; Cricetidae. The record is from RefSeq and is a predicted model, not a curated record.